Molecule: long non-coding RNA, 276 nt
Filed under: Panax ginseng (ginseng)
Lineage: Eukaryota; Viridiplantae; Streptophyta; Magnoliopsida; Apiales; Araliaceae
Description: long non-coding RNA (PGIN_LNC007378)
Source: RNAcentral
AGAAAGAGAGACUAGUAUUAUGUAUUAUGAGUUGAUUGAAUUUGGGCCAACUGAAAAUGUCUCAGCAAACAAAGUUUAUUAAAAACCAAUACCAGAGAUAGAGAGCAUGAGAUGGUGGGACGGUGAGAUCGUGAGCAGCGGAGGCUGAAGACUGAGGCAAAGAUGGUGGUUGACGACAUAGAAAUCUAAGAGAUGAAUCUGAGAUCAUAUGAGACUUGAGAGCUAAGAGACAAGAGGAGAGAGGAACUGAGAUGCAAUUAGGGGCAUCGACUCGGG